Dreissena polymorpha is the source of this 725-nucleotide long non-coding RNA. RefSeq lists it as uncharacterized. NCBI's taxonomy places the organism in Eukaryota, Metazoa, Mollusca, Bivalvia, Myida, Dreissenidae. The transcript is spliced from 4 exons. The record is from RefSeq and is a predicted model, not a curated record.
AAAGGACCUCUAACACUAUCCGUUGUGUCUACUCAUUGGAUUCAGGAUGAAUGCCGCGGUGAUUAUUGCUUUCUGUCUUCUUGGAGCCGUUUCUUCUUUCCAAAAGAACUUCGGUGGUUAUGGCCAUGGGCAAGGAGUGUAUGGGGGCAGUGGCGGUUAUGGUCUGGGGGGUGGAGCAUUCGGCGCUGGUGGAGGUGUUGGUGUUGGAUUAGGUGCAGUUGGUUUCGGGCCUGGAUUUGGCUAUGGCGGUGGAGUAGUUGUUGGCUCUGCAAACGGACUUGUAACAGUUAGCGUGAAAGCUUUGGCUAGCUACUGCCCAUGUGCGAAGACGUGCAAGGGGUACCGCGGCGUUUGCCCAUUAUGCAAAGAAUUCUGCUGCAGUAAAUCACCGUUUUAAAAACAGCGUGCAAAUAAUUGAUGACGAUCCGGCAUUGGAACCAACGGACUUCAAAUACAAAUGUUAAUUACACGUGGCGUAGAAAACAUCAUUCAAAAGAUAAAUAUGUUAUUGUUUGAUUCUUUAACGCUGCGUCUAAUAAGUGCUCUCCAUUUAUUAAAAGUACAAUAUUCUUUGGCGUCUGUGCAAUUUCGAGCUUAAACCAAUGAGAAGGAAAACAUGUUUAUGCGCAGUCUCAAACAUGAUUUUCUUUUCAAAACGAUUACACUUGUGGAAAACCUAAUUUAAACAUAUUUUCAAUUUGUACAACGAUAUUUAUAUAGUCCAA